UGGCCACUCCGGUAUCUGAGGGGCUUCAGCCUGCGUUAGGAAGCGUGGGUAGCGAGAACUAGCAGAAGGGCGAAAUGUCACCGAGAAGCCGGGGAGCACACGGGUGCAAGGCGCGAGGCUGGGGAGCGAGCAAUCAGGAAUGGUGCCGGACAUGAAUACAGUGUGGCUUUUGAUGGCUUCUGAUGGACAGUUUGGUGCUGAAGGGGCGGAAGUGGCUGGCAAGAUCCUGAAGUUAAACACCCUGGCUAUGAGCAGGCAGGCAUUACACAGAAUUAGCUGGAAGUUGGAGGGGUGGACUUGAGUCUUUAACAUGUCUGGACAGACCAAUUUUGGGCUUACAGGCCCCUAUCAUGGAUGGCUGGCUUAGGGGAAGACAUGAAAACAGCUGGUUCUCUGAAGUCCGGUGCUGAGUUUGAAGAACUUUAUAUAAAGGUAUGAAGAGUUGGGGCAUCUUACAAGGCCUGGAACGGGGAGUUUAAGCCAAGGUACAGAAAUCUCAAGUUUGGUUUCUAUGGGAAGUGUUAAUUUAAAGCCGAUACAAUGAUGAAACCAUAGUUCAGCAGACUAGCAGUGAUGAGCAAAAUUGUCUUUCGCUCCUAUCUGAUGUAUCUGGCUGCAGCAAUCCUAAAUCCUAUCCAUACCCUUGAAAAAGAAAAUUUAAGACCUUUUUACCACAGGAAAUGUUCAGAUUUGGAUACUAUAGCGGCUCAAACACAAAUAGUUCUAAGGAUUCACAACUGGAGAAAUGCAGUCUGAUCUAUUUUUGCCAGGAAGUUUUUUUUUUUUUUAAGAUUUUUAUUUAUUUAUUUGACAGAGGCAGGCAGAGAGAGAGGAAGAAGCAGGCUCCCUGCUGGGCAGAGAACCUGACGUGGGGCUUGAUCCUAGGACCCUGGGAUCAUGACUUGAGCCGAAGGCAGAGGCUUUAACCCACUGAGCCACCCAGGUGUACCUUGCCAGGAAGUUUUUAUGGCAUAUAAAUCUGAAUAGAUGAGGCCAGGAUGAGUUAUUUAGUUGUACUUAUUUUUUUAAUUAAUAAACUUCAUUUCCAGAGCAGUUUUAGUAUUCCCAGCAAAACUGAAUGUAGAAUUUCUGUGUAUCCUGUCUUCACACACUUAACUAUCAACAUUGGACAUUGGAGUGAGACUGGCUGCGAUUGUUCUCAACAAGGUCCAGAGUUUACAGUAGGAUUUACUCAAGGGUGUUAAUGAUGUAUGGGCCUGGACACUGUAUGACACCUACACAGUUGUCAUAAUGUGUGGAAUGGGUUUGCUGCCCUUUUCUUAGAAAGUUAAAAAUGGGAAAAAUUAAGUAGAACAAAUUUUAAAUGAAGGCCUUUUUUCCCCUCCAUAUUCAAACAGGCCGACUUAACAACCUGAAGAUUUAAAGGGCAGUUAUGAAAGCAGCAGUUCAGUUACGAGAGCAGCUUAACAGUUAAAAGGCACCUGAAUGGAUGCUCAUGGGAUAGAAGAAAUCAUCAAUUUCAAUAAAUUCUUACAAACCAUC
Long non-coding RNA from Mustela lutreola (European mink), 1503 nucleotides. RefSeq lists it as uncharacterized. The record is from RefSeq and is a predicted model, not a curated record. NCBI's taxonomy places the organism in Eukaryota, Metazoa, Chordata, Mammalia, Carnivora, Mustelidae. The transcript is spliced from 11 exons.